Molecule: long non-coding RNA, 696 nt
Organism: Passer domesticus (house sparrow)
Lineage: Eukaryota; Metazoa; Chordata; Aves; Passeriformes; Passeridae
Exons: 3
Source: RefSeq, a predicted model, not a curated record
GGUCACUAACAACCCGCCGGGCUCCUGGCGGUGGCGGCUCCCGGCGCGGCAGUCGGCACCGCAUCCGUGCGCGCAGCUGGGAUAGGCACAAAGGGGCUGCUGUGAGCGCAGAUGCAGAGCAGCACGGGCAGGAUGCAGAUGGGGGAGCUGGGCCUUGAUUGGCAAGAGGGAGAAUCGUGCGUAGGAGUGAAAGCAAAGCGAGGCUUGCUCGUGCGGGGGGUCUGGCUGGUGCAGAAUGUGAGGUGUCAGCCGUUCAACAGCGCAUGAAGAAAAAGAAUGUCUGCUGUCCGCAGGCAUCCCAGGGAGCUGGAGGUCAGGCCAGCCCAGCAGACUGCAGAGAGAAGCCAAGUGCUUCGUGUUCGAUAAAACCACGGGUCAGAACCACGAUGCCCUCCCUGCAUCGAGACAAGGAAUCACAGAUUGGUGCAGGAACACCAACAUUAAUCAUUUCUAUCUGUGUCUCUUCCUAUUUACUCUGUGGUACUUCAGUGUGCAGUAGAGCCACUUGCUGUUUUGCCACUGAAAAUAUUCCCAGCAGAAAAUGCAGCUUUGUGAAGACCUAAAGUUGUUCAAGGAGAAGAGACUGUCUGGAAGAAAAUGAUCACAUUUUCAUCACUUUCUUUUUUUUUUUCUGAAUUGACAUCCCAGCUCUACAUGCUCUGAAUUUUGCAUUUAGAUAAUUGAAUUCUAUUAAAA